Molecule: long non-coding RNA, 458 nt
Filed under: Pan troglodytes (chimpanzee)
Lineage: Eukaryota; Metazoa; Chordata; Mammalia; Primates; Hominidae
Description: lincRNA
Source: RNAcentral
GAUGCUGAGUUCUCUAAAUUGCUUCAUGUGAGAUGUAACACAAAACCACAUGUUCACCACUACAGGAAUAGUGUGGAAAACCAGGUGGUAAUAAGGGUCUGCCAACCAAGACAAGGAACUCCAGAAAACUAUUAUUGAUGAUCACAGCAAAACCUCUGCAGAAAUUUCACAUCUGCUGAAGCCCAUGGCAUUUGCCUAGCACUGCCAAAGGAAAAAAUAAUGUCUUCUGGUCUCCAUUCCACCUUCAAAAUCAUGCUCCAGUGCACCUUGUUGUUAGAACAUAAAUUGUAUUCUAUUCCACAGAGUCAAGAGAAUCUAGAGAAUUUGAUUUCUAAAUUCCCAGCUCCUUCAAAACAGAAGAAACCUUAGAAGGGUUUUGCUGCUUGCAAAAUGAAAUUAAACCUGCACACUUAUUUCUGUUCUCUUAAUAGAGACUUUGAAGAGAUUAAUUCAUGAUA